This 505-nucleotide ribosomal RNA is filed under the name uncultured bacterium. RNAcentral's name for it is "partial 16S ribosomal RNA". It matches the Rfam family "Bacterial small subunit ribosomal RNA", at positions 28 to 507 of the family's 1533-position model. The record is from RNAcentral.
GACGAACGCUGGCGGCGUGCCUAAUACAUGCAAGUAGAACGCACAGUUUAUACCUUAGCUUGCUACACCAUAGACUGUGAGUUGCGAACGGGUUAGUAACGCUUAGGUAACCUGCCUGGUAGCGGUGGAUAACUAUUUGAAACGAUAGCUAAUACCGCAUAAUAUUAAUUAUUGCAUGAUAAUUAAUUGAAAGUUGCAAUUGCACCACUACCAUAUGGACCUGCGUUGUAUUAUCUAGUAGGUGAGGUAACGGCUCACCUAGGCGACGAUACAUAGCCGACCUGAGAGGGUGAUCGGCCACACUGGGACUGAGACACGGCCCAGACUCCUACGGGAGGCAGCAGUAGGGAAUCUUCGGCAAUGGACGAAAGUCUGACCGAGAAACGCCGCGUGAGUGAAGAAGGUUUUCGGAUCGUAAAGCUCUGUUGUAAGAGAAGAACGGGUGUGAGAGUGGAAAGUUCACACUGUGACGGUAUCUUAACAGAAAGGGACGGCUAACUACGUG